CAUGAAGCUGGAAUCGCUAGUAAUCGUGGAUCAGAAUGCCGCGGUGAAUACGUUCCCGGGUCUUGUACACACCGCCCGUCACACCAUGGGAGCCGGUAACGCCCGAAGUCAGUGACCCAACCGAGAGGAGGGAGCUGCCGAAGGCGGGACAGGUAACUGGGGUGAAGUCGUAACAAGGUACC
Molecule: ribosomal RNA, 182 nt
Filed under: uncultured bacterium
Lineage: Bacteria
Description: partial 16S ribosomal RNA
Rfam family: Bacterial small subunit ribosomal RNA
Source: RNAcentral